UACAUGUGGGGCAAGCGUUGUUCGGAAUUACUGGGCAUAAAGGGUGCGUAGGUGGCCUGUUAAGUCAGAGGUGAAAUCCGGUGGCCCAACCAUCGAACUGCCUUUGAUACUGGCGGGCUGGAGUGCGUAAGGGGUGACUGGAACGCGUGGUGUAGCGGUGAAAUGCGUAGAUAUCACGCGGAAGGCCAACGGCGAAGGCAAGUCACUGGUACGCAACUGACACUGAGGCACGAAAGCGUGGGGAUCAAACAGG
Molecule: ribosomal RNA, 253 nt
Filed under: uncultured bacterium
Lineage: Bacteria
Description: partial 16S ribosomal RNA
Rfam family: Bacterial small subunit ribosomal RNA
Source: RNAcentral